Molecule: ribosomal RNA, 1688 nt
Filed under: Escherichia coli
Lineage: Bacteria; Pseudomonadati; Pseudomonadota; Gammaproteobacteria; Enterobacterales; Enterobacteriaceae
Description: partial 23S ribosomal RNA
Rfam family: Bacterial large subunit ribosomal RNA
Source: RNAcentral
ACUGAAUCCAUAGGUUAAUGAGGCGAACCGGGGGAACUGAAACAUCUAAGUACCCCGAGGAAAAGAAAUCAACCGAGAUUCCCCCAGUAGCGGCGAGCGAACGGGGAGCAGCCCAGAGCCUGAAUCAGUGUGUGUGUUAGUGGAAGCGUCUGGAAAGGCGCGUGAUACAGGGUGACAGCCCCGUACACAAAAAUGCACAUGCUGUGAGCUCGAUGAGUAGGGCGGGACACGUGGUAUCCUGUCUGAAUAUGGGGGGACCAUCCUCCAAGGCUAAAUACUCCUGACUGACCGAUAGUGAACCAGUACCGUGAGGGAAAGGCGAAAAGAACCCCGGCGAGGGGAGUGAAAAAGAACCUGAAACCGUGUACGUACAAGCAGUGGGAGCACGCUUAGGCGUGUGACUGCGUACCUUUUGUAUAAUGGGUCAGCGACUUAUAUUCUGUAGCAAGGUUAACCGAAUAGGGGAGCCGAAGGGAAACCGAGUCUUAACUGGGCGUUAAGUUGCAGGGUAUAGACCCGAAACCCGGUGAUCUAGCCAUGGGCAGGUUGAAGGUUGGGUAACACUAACUGGAGGACCGAACCGACUAAUGUUGAAAAAUUAGCGGAUGACUUGUGGCUGGGGGUGAAAGGCCAAUCAAACCGGGAGAUAGCUGGUUCUCCCCGAAAGCUAUUUAGGUAGCGCCUCGUGAAUUCAUCUCCGGGGGUAGAGCACUGUUUCGGCAAGGGGGUCAUCCCGACUUACCAACCCGAUGCAAACUGCGAAUACCGGAGAAUGUUAUCACGGGAGACACACGGCGGGUGCUAACGUCCGUCGUGAAGAGGGAAACAACCCAGACCGCCAGCUAAGGUCCCAAAGUCAUGGUUAAGUGGGAAACGAUGUGGGAAGGCCCAGACAGCCAGGAUGUUGGCUUAGAAGCAGCCAUCAUUUAAAGAAAGCGUAAUAGCUCACUGGUCGAGUCGGCCUGCGCGGAAGAUGUAACGGGGCUAAACCAUGCACCGAAGCUGCGGCAGCGACGCUUAUGCGUUGUUGGGUAGGGGAGCGUUCUGUAAGCCUGUGAAGGUGUACUGUGAGGUAUGCUGGAGGUAUCAGAAGUGCGAAUGCUGACAUAAGUAACGAUAAAGCGGGUGAAAAGCCCGCUCGCCGGAAGACCAAGGGUUCCUGUCCAACGUUAAUCGGGGCAGGGUGAGUCGACCCCUAAGGCGAGGCCGAAAGGCGUAGUCGAUGGGAAACAGGUUAAUAUUCCUGUACUUGGUGUUACUGCGAAGGGGGGACGGAGAAGGCUAUGUUGGCCGGGCGACGGUUGUCCCGGUUUAAGCGUGUAGGCUGGUUUUCCAGGCAAAUCCGGAAAAUCAAGGCUGAGGCGUGAUGACGAGGCACUACGGUGCUGAAGCAACAAAUGCCCUGCUUCCAGGAAAAGCCUCUAAGCAUCAGGUAACAUCAAAUCGUACCCCAAACCGACACAGGUGGUCAGGUAGAGAAUACCAAGGCGCUUGAGAGAACUCGGGUGAAGGAACUAGGCAAAAUGGUGCCGUAACUUCGGGAGAAGGCACGCUGAUAUGUAGGUGAAGUCCCUCGCGGAUGGAGCUGAAAUCAGUCGAAGAUACCAGCUGGCUGCAACUGUUUAUUAAAAACACAGCACUGUGCAAACACGAAAGUGGACGUAUACGGUGUGACGCCUGCCCGGUGC